GAGAGGUUUUGGCAUCAGAAACGAGGGGGAGAGGGGAUUUGUGGGUGAGGAAGGCAAGAAAGAUUGAUGGUGGGUUUUUGCAGCAGUAACGAGGGUUGUAUGAUUCUUCUCCAUGUCCAUUGUCCAGUGCCAGGGAGGGAACAAUCCCAUCUGAUUAUAGUUCUGAGCUCCCUUAAUUACACCCCUCCCCCCCCCGUCUCUCUCUCUCUCUAUCUGACUCUCUCACUUAUUAUGCUAUUACCAUAGACCGUUUCUCCCUUGCUUGUUCUUCUCCUCUUUCCCUUUCUUCUUCUGCUUCUCUGUGUGCUUUGCAUGCGUGCACCUCACUCAAAACUCUCUCUCUCUCUCUCGUGUACACAAACAUUUACCUCUUUCCCUCAAAAAGAGCCCCCACCUGUAGCCACUCUUGCCUCUUUCUCAUCGGUUCUCUCACGCUGUAUAUAUGUUCUAACAUGGUGAAAAUGAGUUGAGGUUUUUAAUUUCAUGUGGGCUUUGGCGAAGGAAAAGGAAGGAGGUUAUUUUAGUUUCAUGUGGGUUUGGCAAAGGGUUUCUUACAGAGUUUAUUGGCAUUCUGUCCACCUCCACCAAAGGAAAUCCAUCUCUCUCUCUCGUUUUCUCUUCUUUUUUAAUGGAGGUGGGCAUCCUGCCAACAAAGCUCUGUUGGCUUCUCUUUGUAAAACCCAUGUGAUGUUCUCUCUAUGGGGACUCUCCAUUUCAUCUGUGCUGCUCUCUUCUAUUAUGCAGGUGAUGAAGAGGUUUGAUUGUCUGCUACUGCAAUCUGCAUGCGACUGAGAAAGCAAUAUCAUCUCAGACGGCUUUUGUGUUUGUGUUUUGUUAUUCUUGGUUGAGUUGAUCCCACCAAACUGUCCUUCCAAAACCCUAAUUUCUCGUUUCACUAGAUCUUUUGAAAAAGAUAAUUUAAAACUAAAAGGGUUUCUUCUCUUCUUUGUUUCUCCACAUAUAUGAUAGUGUUUGUACAUGAAGGAUUCA
Molecule: long non-coding RNA, 990 nt
Organism: Nelumbo nucifera (sacred lotus)
Lineage: Eukaryota; Viridiplantae; Streptophyta; Magnoliopsida; Proteales; Nelumbonaceae
Source: RefSeq, a predicted model, not a curated record